GAUGAACGCUGGCGGCGUGCCUAAUACAUGCAAGUCGAGCGAACAGACGAGGCGCUUGCUCCUCUGACGUUAGCGGCGGACGGGUGAGUACCACGUGGAUAACCUACAUAUAAGACUGGGAUCACUACGGGAACCCGGAGCUAGUACCGGAUAAUAUAUUGAACGGCAUGGUUCAAUAGUGCACGCGGGAUUUGAUGUCCCUUAUACAUAGAACCGCGUCGCAUUAGUUAGUUGGUAAGGUAACGGCUUACCAAGGCAACGAUGCGUAGCCGAUCUGAGAGGGUGAUCGGUCACACUGGAACUGAGACACGGUCCAGACUCCUACGGGAGGCAGCAGUAGGGAAUCUUGCGCAAAGGGCGAAAGCCUGACGGAGCCACGCCGCGUGUGUGAAGAAGGUCUUCGGAUCGUAAAACUCUGUUAGUUGGGAAGAACAAAUGUGUAAUUAACUAUGCACGUCUUGACGGUACCUAAACAGAAAGCCACGGCUAACUACGUG
This 497-nucleotide ribosomal RNA is filed under the name uncultured bacterium. RNAcentral's name for it is "partial 16S ribosomal RNA". It matches the Rfam family "Bacterial small subunit ribosomal RNA", at positions 28 to 507 of the family's 1533-position model. The record is from RNAcentral.